AGAACGCACGAAGAACAGCAGAAGAACGAAGUAAGAACAAUCUUAAAAGAUGAACAAAAGCCAUAGAAAAAUAAGAACACUUGAGAGAAAAGUUUGAGUGAAUGCUCUCAAAAUUCUAUUAAUCACUGAAUGAGUACAAUAUGGGGGAGAGGCCUCUAUUUAUAGUUGAGCCUUCCCAAUAUCAACGGUACAGAUCGAAAUACAUCAAUGGCUAAGAUCUAAAGCUAUCAAGAUAUCAAAUCUCUAAGAUUACAGAAUCGUAUCUUCUAAAGAAUACAUUAAAGUCUAGGAUCGUAUAUCUUUGAAGAUCCCCUUCCAUAUUUACCAAGCAUAUCUUUGAAGAUUACUUUCCAUAUUUUCCAAGCUUCAGAGAUGGGCUUUCAAUCUCUCCAAGCACUGGACCAGUCUGAUUAGGCCAAAUGCCCUCCCUCAAAAGCAAUAGAUCGCACAAGUCUAUCAUGGUUGCAAGUUUCCCUUCGCAACCCAUGACACUAGUAGCUGGUUCCCUCUAAAGUUUCCCUUAGGAUACCUAGAGCCCUUAGCGAGUUCUAUCAGGUAAAUCCAAUGAUUAAAGGCAUCGAGAGCGCAACGCCCUCGACCUAUUCUCAAACUUUAAAAAGGUAGGACGCUGCGGCUGCUUCAUUGAGCCGCGCCACGAAAUCGAGAGCUCCAAGUGGGCCAUUUUUGGUAAGCAGAACUGGCGAUGCGGGAUGAACCGGAAACCAGGUUACGGUGUCCAAUUGCGUGCUAACCUAGAACCCAAAAAGGGUGUUGGUCGAUUAAAACAGCAGGACGGUGGUCAUGGAAGUCGAAAUCUGCUAAGGAGUGUGUAACAACUUACCUACCAAAUCAACUAGCACCGAAAAUGUAUGGCGCUUAAGCGCGCGACCUAUACCUGGCUGUUAGGGCAAGGGCUAGGCCCCGAUAAAUAGGAGGGCGCGGUGGUCACUAUAAAACUCGGCGUGCGAGCCCGAGCAAAGCGGACGUCAGUGUAGAUCUUGGUGGUAAUAGCAAAUAUUCAAAUGAGAACUUUGAAGGCCGAAGAGGGGAAAGGUUUCAUGUGAACGACACUUGCACAUGGGUUAGUCGAUCCUAAGAGACGGGGGAAUACCGUCCGAUAGAGCGUUCAGUGUGAGCUUCGAAAGGAAAUCAGGUUAAAAUUCCUGAACCGAGAUGCGGCAGCUGACGGCAACUUAAGGGACUCUAGAAACAUUAGUGGCGGCCUCAGGAAGAGUUAUCUUUUCUGUUUAACGGCUCGCCCACCCUGGAAAUAGCUCAGCCGGAGGUAGGGUCCAGCGGUCAGAAGAGCACUGCAGGUUGCGUGGUGUCCGGUGUGCCCCCGGCGGCCUUUGAAAAUCUGGAGGACCGAGUGCCGUCCGUGCCCGGUCGUACUCAUAACUGCAUCAGGUCUCUAAGGUGAACAACCUCUGGUCAUUGGAACAAUGUAGGUAAGGGAAGUUAGCAAAAUAGAUCCGUAACCUCGGGAAAAGGAUUGGCUCUGAGGGCUGGGCACGGGGGUCUCAGUCCCGAACCUAUCGGCUGCUGGUGCACUGCUUGAGCUACUUUUAUGGUGAGAGUAGGUCACCGCGUGCCAGCCUGGGGACAGACUGGGAACGGCUCCCUCGGGGCCUUCCCCGGGCGAUAAACAAUCGACUCAGAACUGGUACGGACAAGGGGAAUCUGACUGUUUAAUUAAAACAAAGCAUUACAAUGGUCCCUGCGGAUGCUCACGUAAUGUGAUUUCUGCCCAGUGCUCUGAAUGUCAAAGUGAAGAAAUUCAACCAAGCGCGGGUAAACGGCGGGAGUA
Gossypium arboreum is the source of this 1807-nucleotide non-coding RNA. NCBI's taxonomy places the organism in Eukaryota, Viridiplantae, Streptophyta, Magnoliopsida, Malvales, Malvaceae. The record is from Rfam.